GAUGGUUUAACCCNUUCCCCUACUA
RNAcentral lists this transfer RNA (25 nucleotides) under Coracias abyssinicus (Abyssinian roller). RNAcentral describes it as "partial tRNA-Met". The record is from RNAcentral. Lineage: Eukaryota; Metazoa; Chordata; Aves; Coraciiformes; Coraciidae.